Molecule: non-coding RNA, 91 nt
Organism: Caenorhabditis elegans
Lineage: Eukaryota; Metazoa; Nematoda; Chromadorea; Rhabditida; Rhabditidae
Source: Ensembl
AGAGAGAGAGGGAGAGUUAGUUUCUUUAUUUACUCUCACCGUCAUUUCAUUUCAAUGGGUAUUUUUCCUUUCUAUUAGAAGUUUUUAACGC